RNAcentral lists this ribosomal RNA (440 nucleotides) under uncultured bacterium. Its description in RNAcentral is "partial 16S ribosomal RNA". It matches the Rfam family "Bacterial small subunit ribosomal RNA", at positions 338 to 795 of the family's 1533-position model. The record is from RNAcentral.
CCUACGGGUGGCAGCAGUAGGGAAUAUUGCUCAAUGGGGGAAACCCUGAUGCAGCAACGCCGCGUGGAGGAUGAAGGUUUUCGGAUUGUAAACUUCUUUUGUUAGAGAAGAUAAUGACGGUAUCUAACGAAUAAGCACCGGCUAACUCCGUGCCAGCAGCCGCGGUAAUACGGAGGGUGCAAGCGUUAUACGGAUUUACUGGGCGUAAAGAGCGCGUAGGCGGGAUAGCAAGUCAGAUGUGAAAUCCUAUGGCUUAACCGUGGAACUGCAUUUGAAACUGGUAUACUAGAGUAUGGGAGGGGUAAGUGGAAUUCUUGGUGUAGGGGUAAAAUGCGUAGAGAUCAGGAGGAAUACCGGUUGCGAAGGCGGCCUACUAGAACAUAACUGACGCUGAUGCGCGAAAGCGUGGGGAGCAAACAGGAUUAGAUACCCGUGUAGUC